Misgurnus anguillicaudatus (oriental weatherfish) is the source of this 115-nucleotide small nuclear RNA. RefSeq annotates it as U5 spliceosomal RNA. The record is from RefSeq and is a predicted model, not a curated record. NCBI's taxonomy places the organism in Eukaryota, Metazoa, Chordata, Actinopteri, Cypriniformes, Cobitidae.
CACUCAUGUUUCUCUUCAGAUCGUAUAAAUCUUUCGCCUUUUACUAAAGAUUUCCGUGGAAAGAAACACUAUGAGGAUUCAAUAAUUUUUCGAUGCCCUGCUUAAAUGUGGGGCU